RNAcentral lists this ribosomal RNA (391 nucleotides) under uncultured bacterium. Its description in RNAcentral is "bacterial SSU rRNA". It matches the Rfam family "Bacterial small subunit ribosomal RNA", at positions 29 to 415 of the family's 1533-position model. The record is from RNAcentral.
AGUGAACGCUGGCGGUAGGCCUAACACAUGCAAGUCGAACGGCAGCACAGGAGAGCUUGCUCUCUGGGUGGCGAGUGGCGGACGGGUGAGGAAUACAUCGGAAUCUACUUUUUCGUGGGGGAUAACGUAGGGAAACUUACGCUAAUACCGCAUACGACCUACGGGUGAAAGCAGGGGAUCUUCGGACCUUGCGCGAUUGAAUGAGCCGAUGUCGGAUUAGCUAGUUGGCGGGGUAAAGGCCCACCAAGGCGACGAUCCGUAGCUGGUCUGAGAGGAUGAUCAGCCACACUGGAACUGAGACACGGUCCAGACUCCUACGGGAGGCAGCAGUGGGGAAUAUUGGACAAUGGGCGCAAGCCUGAUCCAGCCAUACCGCGUGGGUGAAGAAGGC